UACGUAGGUUGCAAGCGUUGUCCGGAUUUACUGGGUGUAAAGGGCGUGUAGGCGGAGAUGCAAGUUGGGAGUGAAAUCCCGGGGCUCAACCCCGGAACUGCUUUCAAAACUGUAUCCCUUGAGUGUCGGAGAGGCAAGCGGAAUUCCUAGUGUAGCGGUGAAAUGCGUAGAUAUUAGGAGGAACACCAGUGGCGAAGGCGGCUUGCUGGACGAUAACUGACGCUGAGGCGCGAAAGCGUGGGGAGCAAACAGG
This 253-nucleotide unclassified non-coding RNA is filed under the name uncultured Oscillospiraceae bacterium. RNAcentral's name for it is "contains 16S-23S intergenic spacer region". It matches the Rfam family "Bacterial small subunit ribosomal RNA", at positions 524 to 776 of the family's 1533-position model. The record is from RNAcentral. Lineage: Bacteria; Bacillati; Bacillota; Clostridia; Eubacteriales; Oscillospiraceae.